GUGCUUGCUUCGGCAGUACAUAAACUAAAAUUGGAACGAUACAGAGAAGAUUAGCAUAGCCUCUGCACAAGGAUGACACGCAAAUUCGUGAAGUGUCCCAUAUUUUU
RNAcentral lists this small nuclear RNA (107 nucleotides) under Moschus moschiferus (Siberian musk deer). The record is from RNAcentral. Lineage: Eukaryota; Metazoa; Chordata; Mammalia; Artiodactyla; Moschidae.